AGCAGGCCGAACGAUCGCGGGCAUGAGGCGAAAGCCUGUGCAUGAGGAAAGUCCGGGCUCCACAGGGCAAGGAUAACGGGUAACACCCGCCAGGGGCGACCCUCGGACAAGUGCAACAGAAAUAGACUUCCUGCGCUUCGGCGCAGGGGAUGGUGGAAAGGUGAGGUAAGAGCUCACCCGUCGCAUGGAGACAUGUGGACGCUGUAAACUCUAUCCGGAGCAACACCGCGGGAGAACAGGAGGCCGGCCCGGCCGUUCUCAGGAGGUGGCUUGAGUCUGCCGGCAACGGCAGACCUAGAUAGAUGAUCGUUCUCGACAGAACCCGGCUUACAGGCCUGCUCAU
Molecule: RNase P RNA, 343 nt
Filed under: bovine gut metagenome
Description: Bacterial RNase P class A
Rfam family: Bacterial RNase P class A
About the family: Ribonuclease P (RNase P) is a ubiquitous endoribonuclease, found in archaea, bacteria and eukarya as well as chloroplasts and mitochondria. Its best characterised activity is the generation of mature 5'-ends of tRNAs by cleaving the 5'-leader elements of precursor-tRNAs. Cellular RNase Ps are ribonucleoproteins.
Source: RNAcentral